Long non-coding RNA from Hemicordylus capensis (graceful crag lizard), 914 nucleotides. RefSeq lists it as uncharacterized. The transcript has 4 exons. NCBI's taxonomy places the organism in Eukaryota, Metazoa, Chordata, Lepidosauria, Squamata, Cordylidae. The record is from RefSeq and is a predicted model, not a curated record.
UGUCCAAACAGGGGAGCUGUGGUUUAACAAUAGUUCAGAAACUAGGAUAUGAAACUGGAUUAGAUUGCAGUUUCGUAUCCUGGUCUCUCGGUUAAACCACAGCUCCCAGGUUUGGACACCAGGUGGAGCUGUGCUGUGUACAAAUAAGGAUUCUCUGGCAUGUGAGGCAAGGAAGAAAGGAGAGGGGGAGGGGUUUGCAUGGGUUUGACAGGCUUUGGGUCACAUUGAAGGCCCAUCAAGGUUUGCUGGCUUGUCUAGACUGGCCCACUGCCUCGUAAAGUGAAGUCCAUAGGCCUUGACAUGCACUCUGAAUUAAAGCGUGCCUUUCUAUGCGGAAAUCAGACUGGGACAGGGAGAAGGCAGGAUUUGAGUGACGGAGUACACCUUCAGUAGACCCCAGUGGAAGGACAGGAGGGCGUGUAAAAGGACAGAUGACCACUAAAAGAACCAAAGUUACAGAAAGCUUGUAAGUAUGUCACGUGAAGUGUCUUCUUCGGCAGACAAGAACUGAGGAGGACAGUGCGAAGCACAUGACCAAGGUAUAGUGGAGGAGCCUGUCUACCUAUUAGAGAGCCAGAAAAAGAUUAGCUUAGCAAGCAAUUCCACAACGUCUACUGAAGCAUGGACGAAGACUGUGGGGAUGAGGAGAGGCACAUCUGCAUAUAGCGGCUGGGGGCGAGGUUCCCACUCAAAUCAGGAGAAUACAGCUUGUUAGGUUCUGAUGAGGUCUCUGCACAGGCACAAAGCCCAUCAGUGUAAAAGACAGAGACCAUGUCAAAGAAUCAACAUAAUGUUCUCCCUACUUUGGAAACAUGGUUAAAACAAAAACAAAAAAGGGAAGAUAGCCUAACAGCAAUGAGAUAAUGAAACUCCCUAAAAAGAAAUAAAAGUUCACAAGUAGGAGAAAGUUCAAA